GCAGAUUGGACUAAACAGCCUAGAGGCGGAAGUCUUGGGUCCCCGGCCCAAGCAUCGUUUGAUGUCCCCACCCCAGGAGGAACGCUAGGGAGGGGGAGGGGCUGGGCUCCCUCCCUCCCCUUCCCGCCUCCCAAGAUAGACGACCCCCGCCCGACCCCCACCCUCGGGUCCAGCCGGGACGCUGACCCCACCCCAGAUUCCGGAGGGUCCGCCCCACCCCUACCUGUGGGCCCCGCGGAGGCUCCUCCCCUCGGUCACGGCCAAAGCCACGUCCUCCCAACUCCUUCCUGGGACCGCCCGAGCGCUGCGUGCGCAACCGCAGCCGGGGCCUCCUCCGGCCCCGGCGGCCGCGGCGGUGCUGCCCUCUGGCGCCCCCUCGUGGAGGAAAGAAGGAAGGGUAGGCCCGACUGUGUGGGGAGCCCUGGGCCUAAGUGGGCCGCGAGAGCCCCUGCCUUCGAGGAGCUUAAAUUCCAACGGAGAGGCACCACGCACGCUACAGGGUACAAGCAUAUUCGAGUGAAAGCUCAUCUGUCCUUGAUCUUCCUGUCAUUAACCAAUACCCCCUCUGCCCAGACUUCAUGAAAAUGAAAGCUGGGAGAUGGAGACUCAAAGAAAAGGUAAGGGAUAAGAAGCAAGAUACAUUCAUCUAACUUAAGUACCUGCUGUGUUUGGGUGCCCAUCAGUGGAGGGAGUUUCACAGAGUUCAUGACCAGGGUCUUUUAGGGCAGGGAAAAAAGGGAAGGCAGGGUCGCUUUGCGAAAUGUUAUCUAAGCUCCUGGAAUUUAAAAUGAUGCCACCAAGAAAAGGGCCUAUUCCUGUGGUAUCGUGGUAGAGAACCUGUCUCAAAGCCAGGAAGUCCUGCCUUUGACAUAUAGUAACUGUGUGAUCCUGAGCAAACAACUUUCCAAGACUAUGAAUUCCAAAGAAAGUGCAAACCUGAAUAGAUAGAAGGAUUUUCUACAUUUGGGUGUUCCCUAUACCAAUGAAAUUCAUCCAGUCCCUAUCCUGUAAUAUUCACCCUUAGUUAAACAGAGCCCGUGUAAUGUUAAAAUGGGGAUUUCUUCUGGACUUCUUCCCCCUGACAUGAUGUGUUUCUGCUUUCAGUAUGUACUCCCCCA
This 1118-nucleotide long non-coding RNA is filed under the name Phascolarctos cinereus (koala). Its description in RNAcentral is "lncRNA (ENSPCIG00000030029.2)". Lineage: Eukaryota; Metazoa; Chordata; Mammalia; Diprotodontia; Phascolarctidae. The record is from RNAcentral.